RNAcentral lists this transfer RNA (75 nucleotides) under Paramuricea clavata. RNAcentral describes it as "tRNA-Ser". The stretch from base 8 to 65 matches the Rfam family "tRNA", at positions 8 to 63 of the family's 71-position model. Rfam says of the family: Transfer RNA (tRNA) molecules are approximately 80 nucleotides in length. Their secondary structure includes four short double-helical elements and three loops (D, anti-codon, and T loops). The record is from RNAcentral. Lineage: Eukaryota; Metazoa; Cnidaria; Anthozoa; Malacalcyonacea; Plexauridae.
ACCCUAGUAGCUCAGAAAGUAGAGCGUCGUUCUAGAAAUGCGAAGGUCGCGGGUUCGAUUCCCAUGCAUUGGUUC